AACGAACGCUAUCGGUAUGCUUAACACAUGCAAGUCGGACGGACUAAUUAUGGCUUUCUCCAAUUAGUUAGUGGCAGACGGGUGAGUAACACGUGGGAAUCUUCCCAUCAGUACUGAAUAACUUUUAGAAAUAAAAGCUAAUACCGUAUAUUCUCUACAUAGGAAAGAUUUAUCGCUGAUGGAUGGGCCCGCGUCAGAUUAGGUAGUGGGUGAGGUAACUGCUCACCAAGCCGACGAUAUGUAGCUGGUCUGAGAGGAUGAUCAGCUACACUGGGACUGAGACACGGACCAGACUGCUACGGGAGGGAGCAGUGGGGAGUAUUAGACGAUGGGCGAAAGCCUGAUCCAGCAAUACCGAGUGAGUGAGAAAGGCCCUAGGGUUGUAAAGCUCUUUUAGCAAGGAAGAUAAUGACGUUAAUUGCAGAAAAAGCACCGGCUAACUCCGUG
Molecule: ribosomal RNA, 447 nt
Filed under: uncultured bacterium
Lineage: Bacteria
Description: partial 16S ribosomal RNA
Rfam family: Bacterial small subunit ribosomal RNA
Source: RNAcentral